AGGGCACCACCAGGAGUGGAGCCUGCGGCUUAAUUUGACUCAACACGGGAAAACUCACCCGGCCCGGACACUGGAAGGAUUGACAGAUUGAGAGCUCUUUCUUGAUUCAGUGGGUGGUGGUGCAUGGCCGUUCUUAGUUGGUGGAGUGAUUUGUCUGGUUAAUUCCGAUAACGAACGAGACUCUAGCCUACUAAAUAGAUCGUCGGCUUACAAACGCCGGCGAGACUUCUUAGAGGGACAGGCGGUGAUUCAACCGCACGAAACAGAGCAAUAACAGGUCUGUGAUGCCCUUAGAUGUCCGGGGCCGCACGCGCGCUACACUGAAGUGAUCAGCGUGCUUUUUCAACCUACUCUGUCAAGAGUGGGGAACCCAAUGAACCUUCUUCGUGAUUGGGAUAGGGGAUUGUAAUUAUUCCCCUUGAACGAGGGAUUCCCAGUAAGCGCGAGUCAUAAGCUCGCGUUGAUUACGUCCCUGCCCUUUGUACACACCGCCCGUCGCUACUACCGAUUGAAUGUUUU
Molecule: ribosomal RNA, 519 nt
Filed under: uncultured eukaryote
Lineage: Eukaryota
Description: SSU rRNA
Rfam family: Eukaryotic small subunit ribosomal RNA
Source: RNAcentral